This 251-nucleotide ribosomal RNA is filed under the name uncultured prokaryote. Its description in RNAcentral is "partial 16S rRNA". It matches the Rfam family "Bacterial small subunit ribosomal RNA", at positions 525 to 775 of the family's 1533-position model. The record is from RNAcentral.
ACGUAGGUGGCAAGCGUUGUCCGGAAUUACUGGGUGUAAAGGGAGCGCAGGCGGGAGAGCAAGUCAGCUGUGAAAACUAUGGGCUUAACCCAUAAACUGCAGUUGAAACUGUUUUUCUUGAGUGGAGUAGAGGUAGGCGGAAUUCCGAGUGUUGCGGUUAAAUGCGUAAAUAUUCUGAGGAACACCAGUGGCGAAGGCGGCCUACUGGGCUCUAACUGACGCUGAGGCUCGAAAGUGUGGGGAGCAAACAG